UACGAAGGGGGCUAGCGUUGUUCGGAUUUACUGGGCGUAAAGCGUACGUAGGCGGCUUUCCAAGUCAGAGGUGAAAUCCCGGAGCUCAACUCCAGAACUGCCUUUGAUACUGGAAAGCUUGAGUUCGGGAGAGGUGAGUGGAACUGCGAGUGUAGAGGUGAAAUUCGUAGAUAUUCGCAAGAACACCAGUGGCGAAGGCGGCUCACUGGCCCGAUACUGACGCUGAGGUGCGAAAGCGUGGGGAGCAAACAGG
RNAcentral lists this ribosomal RNA (253 nucleotides) under uncultured bacterium. RNAcentral describes it as "partial 16S ribosomal RNA". It matches the Rfam family "Bacterial small subunit ribosomal RNA", at positions 524 to 776 of the family's 1533-position model. The record is from RNAcentral.